This 73-nucleotide transfer RNA is filed under the name Manacus vitellinus (golden-collared manakin). It matches the Rfam family "tRNA". Rfam says of the family: Transfer RNA (tRNA) molecules are approximately 80 nucleotides in length. Their secondary structure includes four short double-helical elements and three loops (D, anti-codon, and T loops). Further hydrogen bonds mediate the characteristic L-shaped molecular structure. tRNAs have two regions of fundamental functional importance: the anti-codon, which is responsible for specific mRNA codon recognition, and the 3' end, to which the tRNAs corresponding amino acid is attached (by aminoacyl-tRNA synthetases). tRNAs cope with the degeneracy of the genetic code in two manners: having more than one tRNA (with a specific anti-codon) for a particular amino acid; and 'wobble' base-pairing, i.e. permitting non-standard base-pairing at the 3rd anti-codon position. Lineage: Eukaryota; Metazoa; Chordata; Aves; Passeriformes; Pipridae. The record is from Rfam by way of RNAcentral.
CCCCUGGUGGUCUAGUGGUUAGGAUGCGGCGCUCUCACCGCCACAGCCUGGGGUUCGAUUCCCGGUCAUAGAA